RNAcentral lists this long non-coding RNA (5003 nucleotides) under Arabidopsis lyrata. RNAcentral describes it as "long non-coding RNA (ALYR_LNC002764)". Lineage: Eukaryota; Viridiplantae; Streptophyta; Magnoliopsida; Brassicales; Brassicaceae. The record is from RNAcentral.
AAGGUAAAAGUGAUUUAAAACUUAUUGAAAAUCUAUCACUGCACAAGGUUUCAUUGUAUAAUCAAAUGUGUGUAGGGAAUGUUACUUGAUGGAAAAGAAAUCGCGGUAAAGAGACUAUCAAAAAUGUCUUCACAAGGGACCGAUGAGUUCAUGAACGAGGUUCGAUUAAUUGCAAAGCUUCAGCACAUAAACCUUGUCCGGCUUCUUGGUUGUUGCGUCGAUAAGGGUGAGAAAAUGUUGAUCUACGAGUUCUUGGAGAAUCUAAGCCUUGAUUCUCAUCUCUUUGGUUAGUGACUUAAAACAGCUUAUAUAUGCUCUAAUAAUUGAUCAUCUUUGGGAAUAAGUUCACACGUUAUUGGUUGUAUUCGAUUUGUAGACAAAACCCGACGCUCUAACUUAAAUUGGCAAAAGAGAUUUGAUAUUAUCAAUGGAAUUGCUAGAGGACUUCUAUAUCUUCACCAAGAUUCACGGUGUAGGAUUAUCCAUAGAGACUUGAAAGCAAGUAAUGUAUUGCUUGAUAAAAAUAUGACUCCGAAGAUCUCGGAUUUUGGGAUGGCUAGGAUCUUUGGACGGGAGGAGACAGAAGCUAAUACAAGGAGGGUGGUUGGAACUUAGUAAGCAACCAUUCUCCAAAAAAAAAAAUUAAGAGCAUUUAUCUCAAAUCCAAAUUUGAAAAAAAUACCUCAUAACAUGAGUUUAUUCUUCGUUAUGUAGCGGCUACAUGUCUCCAGAAUAUGCAAUGGACGGGAUAUACUCGAUGAAGUCGGAUGUUUUCAGCUUUGGGGUCUUGCUUCUGGAGAUUAUAAGUGGCAAAAGAAAUAAAGGAUUUUACAACUCAAACCGUGAUCUUAAUCUCCUCGGUUUUGUAAGCUAAGAACCUCUUGAAUUUGAUAUUAUUUUGCACUCAUAAUCUGAUUAUAACACUAAAGAAAGAUUACAUCCUUUAUGCACAGGUGUGGAGGCAUUGGAAGGAAGGAAAAGGGCUAGAGAUUGUAGAUCCGAUCAACAUAGAUUCUUCGCCAUCAACUUUGCGGACACAUGAAAUCUUAAGAUGUAUACAAAUUGGUCUCUUGUGUGUUCAAGAACGUGCCGAAGACAGGCCAGUGAUGUCCUCGGUAAUGGUGCUGCUUGGAAGCGAAACCACGGCUAUAACUCAGCCUAAACGUCCUGGUUUUUGUAUUGGGAGAAGUCCUCUUGAGGCUGAUUCUUCGUCAAGUACACAACGUGGCGAUGAAUGUACAGUGAAUCAAAUCACCGUCUCAGUCAUUGACGCUCGGUAAUUUGGAAAUUUACCUACCCAAUCUGUUUAUAUGCAUAUCUUUUAUUUGCAAAUCUCAAUGGCAAUUUUUCGUAAAAAAAAGAAGCCUCAACAAGAGUACACGAUGCAAAGUUGAGGUUUUUUCUUUUCAACGAAAAUGCAUAGUUGAGGCUUUUUAUGAGAUUUUUUCCUUAUUUUAUAUGUAAGUCUAAUUAAAAAAAAAAUUACUUCAUGAUUAGAUAACUUGCUCUAUCUGAUUUAAUUUAGACAAAGAUGCACCACAUGUUUCGCAUGAUUUUGAUUAAGAGCGAGGACUAUUAAAACAACCAUUUAGACGAAGACCAAAAAUGAAGGAAAAUAUGAAGAUGGAGUUCAAAAUGAAAGAUUUGGAGUUGUUACUCCAAGAGUUGAAGAAAGCAAGAGCAAACUUGGUGUGAGACCGAAACUCAAUUAAGAGGGAGUUUAGUAAUGAUUAAUAUUUGCUGUUGUGCCUGAGGCAGUACGGACUACAAAAUAUAAUGUUUGCUUAAGAAAAGUUGUAGGAAGCGAACAUAGAACUUUAUGGCAAUUACCACAGAGGACUUUAUAAAACAAAUCGAAAUCAUCCUUUUUUUGAAUUCAUCGGUGAAGAAGCAUUCUCUUGCAUAUAACAUAUUGCAUGUCACCAGCAAUAUUGAAGUUUUAUAUAAUUCUCGUACACACACACAAAGGAUUGAUAAAUAAUAAAAAAUUUCUUUUCAUUUGGUAGGUCAACUCUAUAGUGACAUAGUCUAUAGAUAUUUCAAAUACGAACAAGAAGACCCGGAAAAUAAAGCCGAAAAUGAAAUAUUAUCAACAAUAAUAUAGAGAGAAAUCGUGUAAAAUAACGUUCACACAUUUAAUGCAACACAUUGUCUGAUUUAGUCAAAGAUAAAAAUUCUCAAUAUAUGUACAUACAAUUUGCUCAAGAAGAAAAAUAAAACAGAACACAAGAAAUUGUCCGAGAGAGAGAUGAUGAGAAGUGUACAAAACUACCACCAUUCUUACAUCUUCAUCAUCUUAAUUCUGUUUCUUGCUUUCUCUGUUUCUGCAAACACUUUUUCAGCCACAGAAUCUCUCACUCUCUCAAGCAACAAAACCAUUAUAUCUCCUAAUCAAAUAUUCGAGCUCGGUUUCUUCAAUCCCGCAUCAAGUUCGCGUUGGUAUCUCGGGAUAUGGUUCAAGAUAAUCUCUAAGAGAACCUACGUAUGGGUUGCAAACAGAGACAAUCCUCUCUCUAGUUCCAACGGAACUCUCAAAAUAUCCGGCAAUAACCUCGUCAUUUUCGAUCAAUCCGAUAGACCUGUUUGGUCGACCAAUAUAACCGGAGGAGAUGUUAGAUCACCACUGGUUGCAGAGCUUCUUGAUAACGGUAACUUCGUGCUUAGAGACUCCAAAAAUAAAGAUCCAAGAGGAUUUUUGUGGCAGAGUUUCGAUUUUCCGACAGAUACUUUACUAUCGGAGAUGAAAUUGGGAUGGGAUAACAAAACCGGAUAUAGCAAAUUAUUGAGAUCUUGGAAAACCACAGAUGAUCCAUCAAGCGGCGAUUUCUCGAUUAAACUCCGAACCAGCGGUUUCCCUGAAUUUUACGUAUGCAAUAGAGAGUCCAUAACAUACCGGAGCGGUCCAUGGAUCGGAAAUCGGUUUAGCAGUGUACCAGGGACGAAGCCACUUGAUUACAUAGUUAACAAUUUUACUAUGAGUAAUCAAGAAGUAGCUUACACAUACCGAGUCAACAAAACCAACAUUUACUCGAUAUUAAGCCUAAGCUCCACGGGAUUAUUACAACGAUUAACUUGGAUGGAGGCAGCACAGAGUUGGAAACAAUUAUGGUACUCACCAAAGGACCUAUGUGAUAACUACAAAGAGUGUGGGAAUUACGGUUAUUGCGAUCCGAACAGUUCACCUAUUUGUAAUUGUAUCAAAGGGUUUGAGCCAAUGAAUGAGCAAGCGGCUUUGAGAGAUGAUUCCGUUGGUUGCGUGAGGAAGACGAAUCUGAGUUGUGACGGUAGAGAUGGGUUUGUGCGGUUGACGAAGAUGAGACUGCCAGAUACUACAACGACAAUUGUGGACAGAGGAAUUGGGUUGAAAGAAUGUGAAGAGAGGUGUCUAAAAGAUUGUAAUUGUACGGCCUUUGCUAAUACCGAUAUUCGUAAUGGCGGAUCCGGUUGCGUGAUUUGGACCGGAGAGCUGUUGGAUAUCCGAAAUUAUGCUAAGGGAGGUCAGGAUCUUUACGUUAGACUAGCCGCUGAAGAUCUCGGUUAGUUCUUUUUCCUUUACAUUUAAUAAAGUGUUUUUUUUUUUGUUGACUAAGAGAUUAUGAGCCAAGGUCCGUAUACCCACCCUUUCAAGCUGCGGACCAAAUUAAAUCAUGUAAUAUGGUCUCUUCCCAAACACAAUUUAAACUCCUGAUCUAUGAAUCUAAAGAGUCUUUGGUCAACAAAGUAUAUAGUUGAUGUUUGGUAAACUUUUAGGUUUAUUUUUUGAGAGCUACUAAAUAUCAAACUAGGGAAAAAAAAAGUUGAAUAUCGGAGAAGAUGGCUAAUAUAGACUAUAUACUGUUAAAGAUUUGGCGAUAAUCUGAAGAGAAAAACGUUAUGUAUACAAAAGUUUUUGGAUAAUGUAUAACUUUGGUAAGUUGUUGAGUAUUGCAAGUCAAAUUUAAUUACAUUGUUAUUGUUUAACAUACUAUAAAUUUAACCAAAGAUUUUCUAGCAAAAAAAACUAAUAUAUCAAAAGAUUAAUAUGGUUUAAGCUAGAUCCAAUACCAAAACAAAUCUUUGUUUAAGUUUUUAAUUAAUUAUUUUGUUUGUUUUUCGUAUAUAUAUAUGAUAAAAAGUACAAGGAUUUUGUUUUUGACAAUUACGUAGAAGGAAAUAUAUGUCUUCUUUUUUUUUUUUAUUGCAGAGGACAAGAGAAUCAAAAAUGAAAAAAUCAUAGGCUCAAGUAUUGGAGUGAGCAUUUUGCUUCUUUUAAUGUUCAUCAUCUUCCAUUUUUGGAAAAGGAAGCAGAAACGAUCAAUAGCAAUUCAAACACCGAUUGGUAAAUAAAUAGCUUCCAUUUCAUGUAUUAUUUAUUUACUUUUACUUUUAAUAAUCAAAUGUCUUAAUUUUUUUUUUUUUUUUUUUUGGUGUCUGAAUAAAACAGUUGAUCAAGUGAGAAGCCAAGAAUUGCCAAUGAACGAAGUGGUAAUAUCAAGCAGGAUUUACAGAUCCAAAGAAAACAAAACAGAGUAUCUAGAGCUCCCAAUGAUGGAGUUGAAAGCUCUAGCCAUGGCAACAAACAAUUUUUCUAACGACAACAAGCUUGGACAAGGUGGUUUCGGUAUUGUUUACAAGGUAAAAGUAAUCCAAAAUUUAUUGAAAAUCUAUCACUGCAUAAGAUUUCAUUGUAUAAUCAAAUGUGUGAUCAAAUGUGUGGUAACAGGGAAGGUUACUUGAUGGAAAAGAUAUUGCGGUAAAGAGAUUAUCGAAAAUGUCUUCACAAGGGACCGAUGAGUUCAUGAACGAGGUUAGAUUAAUAGCAAAGCUUCAGCACAUAAACCUUGUCCGGCUUCUUGGUUGUUGCGUCGAUAAGGGUGAGAAAAUGUUGAUCUAUGAAUACUUGGAGAAUCUAAGCCUUGACUCUCAUCUCUUUGGUUAGUGACUCAAAACAGCUUAUGUUCUAAUAAUUGAACAUCUUUGGGAAAAAUUUAACACUUUGUUGGUUGUGUUCGAUUUGUAGACAA